CCUACGGGCGGCAGCAGUGAGGAAUAUUGGUCAAUGGGCUUACGCCUGAACCAGCCAAGUCGCGUGAGGGAAGACUGCACUAUGGGUUGUAAACCUCUUUUGUCAGGGAGCAAUUGGCGCUACGUGUAGCGUUAUCGAGAGUACCUGAAGAAAAAGCAUCGGCUAACUCCGUGCCAGCAGCCGCGGUAAUACGGAGGAUGCGAGCGUUAUCCGGAUUUAUUGGGUUUAAAGGGUGCGUAGGCGGAAUGCCAAGUCAGCGGUAAAAUCGCGGGGCUCAACCUCGCUCCGCCGUUGAAACUGGCGGUCUUGAGUGGGCGAGAAGUAUGCGGAAGGCGUGGUGUAGCGGUGAAAUGCAUAGAUAUCACGCAGAACUCCGAUUGCGAAGGCAGCAUACCGGCGCCCAACUGACGCUGAGGCACGAAAGCGUGGGUAUCGAACAGGAUUAGAUACCCCAGUAGUC
Molecule: ribosomal RNA, 460 nt
Filed under: uncultured bacterium
Lineage: Bacteria
Description: partial 16S ribosomal RNA
Rfam family: Bacterial small subunit ribosomal RNA
Source: RNAcentral